AAAAGUCGAAAAAAAAAAAAAAAAAAAAAGUGGGAAUGAAAAAAUGUUUAGCGACUAAAAUAUUUUGAUCACAGAUAAUAACAUUUGCCGACCAAAAAUCAAUUUUGUCGCCAAAGACGUGAAAAUUUUAGAGGGAAACCAUUUAAUUGCCCCCGCCUGUUCUCUGUUUAAACCAAUCAGAUUGUUCUCUCUCUCAUACAGAUUCUCCUUCACCACCAAACCUCACCCCAUCUCAUCUCACUCUGUGACUUAGGGCUUAAAAACAUGUCCGUCUCUCUCUCACUCUGUGACUCUCUCAGUCUACGAUUCUCUCUGUCUCUCACAUCUGCCCUCCUCCCAUUCUCUCUCUCACAUCUGCCCAGCUUCGAUUCUCUCUCUCUCUCUCUCUCACUUUUGUCUCCAUCGCUGUUGGUACAGGAGCACCAUCGGCGUCGACACCCGUUGCACAUGAGGACCAUCGCAAACCAACAGCCUAUAUCAUCUUAUCUCGUAGUCACGAUCCAUCAUUGGGGCACUAGCCAAAAAUGUGGAGAAAGCAUUGUAGGCUCUUUUAAUUCUGAUAAAGCAAUUGUUUUCCCGUACAAUGAAGUUUGUGAUUCGACUUUAAACUUAAGUAUGUCUUUAAAGAUUGGUCAAGGAUCAUAUGGAUCUGUUUACCUAGGAUGUGGCCAUCAAACAGAUGAAUGACACCAAGUCUAAAGAGUUCAUGUCAGAGCUCAAUAUUCUUUGCAGAGUUCAUCAUACAAACUUGUUUUUCUUUCUCUUGGGUUUUCCGAAUAGAUCAAGCUUAUUGGAUAUGCUACCGGUGGAGACUCCUUGUUUCUUGUAUAUGAAUUAGCCCAAAAUGGUGCACUAAGCGAUCAUCUUCACAAUCCCGCUAUAAGAGGUUUGAACUCAUGACUAAUCAAUGAUAUUUACUUCGAUGCUCUUGCAAAUAAAUCACAAACAUCUUAGAAGUCUUGUAUGUGCAGACUCAGUCAUUUUUGUAUCAGCUAUUUGGCUCAGACUGCUUUUGUAGAACAGAAAAGUUCACAGAAAUACAGCUCCAGAGAAUUACUCCUACUUUAGUUUUGUGUAGAAGAGUGUAAUACUUGUUGAAACAAAUUUUAACAUCACAAAGUCUAACACUUACUGAUCGAUCUCCCAAAUUUGCCUACAUUUACUUUUUUCAGUGGACAUUGGUUCCAAAUAUAAUUAAGAUAUUAAUACAUCAUUAUCUCAUGGUUGAAAUAUAUAAUUUCUACGCAGCUGCAUCAAUUCAGUAUUGCUCUCUAAAUCAUAUUGUUUAGUCAGAACAUUUAACAGUUCUAAAAUCUUUUAGCAAAACAAAUAUUUUGGUAUCAGACACGACGUUCAAUAUCAAGUAAAACCACUAAAAGAAUUUGGUGAUAGUUCUAGUAGUGUUUGCUAUCAAUUGAAGUUAUUUCAUCAAAUGUACUAUCAUUUGGAAUGAAGAAAACGUAUUGACAAAUAAAAGUACUUUUAACUUUGUAUGGUUAUCGGUUCAAAGAUAAAAAUAAAUAGAUAAAAUAAGAAGUGAGCUGUGUCUUAUUUCAGUUUGCUUGUCGGCUGGAAAUUGUUUUUCGGACACAUUUUGUUCAGAUUAAUGAUUCUAGUAUAAAUAAUUGUCAAGUUAAGACGUACAAUGGGACAGACCCUUCUUCUAAACAAGUAUCCUCUACUAAAAUUGUUUCAUAUUUGAAUUUAUGGGUUUCACCUGUUUCAAUUAGUCUUGCUCGCAACUCUUUGCCUAUAGAAAUUGUAGAAAAUGCUGAUGCACCCACUUGGUAAUUCUAAGAAUGAAUUUUUGUGGUUGAAAGAAAUCUAUUGUUCAAAGUGAUUAAAGUUUUUAAAAUAUAUAUAUAUAUAUAUAUAUAUUUCUCCAUUUUCCACUGGGUCUGCUUUUAGUUAAAAAAAUGAUGAUGUUGAUGACUAGACCUUCAAUGCUAAGGCUUAAUAAAUCAACAGGUUUUAAACCUCUUCCUUGGACCACAAGAGUUCAUAUUGCUCUAGAUGCUGCAAAAGGUCUUGAGUAUAUACAUCUUUAUACCAAGCCAUACUACAUCCAUCGAGAUGUGAAGUCGAGCAACAUUCUUUUAGAUUCUUCUUUUCAUGCAAAGAUUCAGGAAGCACAUGAUUUAACCACGAGAUCCUUCAAUUUAGACUCUGCAGAAAAAGGUAUGACCGUAAUUUUUCAUCCGCUGCGUUAUAGUUUGAUUUACAUAUUGUGUUUCAGAUGCUAUCAAUUUUGGAGAACAAUGAUCCCUUUACUGAGCUGAGUCAAUGCAUUGAUCUAACUCUCACCCACUACCACAAAGACUCGCUUCUGCAGGUGAGCUCCGUUCGCGUUUUAACUUUGUUUCUCAGUCGAACUUUACCUUUACAAAAGAUAAUAUUUUCGAGGACCACUAGUAUGGAAUAUGCAUGGUUGAAAACUUGAGUUGGAAGUAUUACCGAUUUCCUAAAGGUAACUGUGGCCUGCUGGCAUUGCUAACCUGCCAAAAUCCAAUCAUGAUUUUGAGCCAAUAAGUUACAGACCAAAGCAUCACUUCUUGGCUUCAUAUUACAUUCUUGCCCAGUUCUAUUAGUGGUCCUGGUCCUGGCAUUGGCUACCUGAUUUUGGCUUGGAUCUAUGUCUAAGGCUGUUAACAACAAGAUCUUACUUUUUAGUAUUUAAGGACACUUCAGCAAAACUGUACUAAAGAAGCCUAAGCACGUCUAAAAAGGAGAAAAAAGUGUACUAAAGAAGCCUAAGGACUGAUGCUAACAAUGCUCCAAGAUGGUAUGUAAAUGUGAAAUGUUUGAUUUGUGCAUAACAACCAAAUUAAUGUUUCGAGUAAUUAUUUUAUUUUUUAAAAUUAUCAUUUUAUGUCAAAAUUAACGCUCAUCUCCCCUUCAAAAUUAAUGUGAGCAGCAGCAGCAGUAUUAAUGUUUUUUUUAACUUAUUAUUUAUGUUUCAAGUAAUUCUACGCUUGUUUUUUUGUUUUUCGGAUUGUCAAACUAAUGGCAUUCAUGUUUUCUCAGCUCCUCUCCAUCAGAUGCAGCAGUAUUAUAGGCGGCUUUGUGUCCCUAAUAACUGUUCCAGAAAAUGGAAUGCUCUUGUUCAUUGCUUAACUUUGGAGGCAAAACGAACUUCUGUAAUGGAGAUCCCACAUAUAUAUCCCACAAAACUCUAUCAUACCAGUUUGACACACACAGAUACAGACUGGGUUGGUGUUGGUAUACAAUGGUGGCCAAAGCCAAGGGGAAAAAAAGAAGAAAAACUAGCAGAAAUAUCAGUGAGUACCUCAUUGUAGUGCCUCAUGUGCUAACUGAUUUGCACACUCUUUUACUUCUCUAGGAAAAUAUGCUGGAUUUUACAGUCUCAUUCCUUCACAAAUUCCCUCAUCUGUAGCACCAAAUUCAAAUUAGGAUGUAAAGAAUUUGGACCUUGCAACAAACUCACUGCAUCUUGGCAAUCCAUCUCCAAGAUAAUCUCCCUGCAUCCUCUUUGCCAAGCGAAGAGUAGACCUUGCCAUACUGCACAUAACCCGCCGUUAAAGCAUGAGCCCACACAAUUUUCUGAAUGAAUCCCACCACCUAGAAACCGACAAUAUUUCCAAUCAAAGCCCCUACACCCGCUAGUCUUGGAUUACCAAUUGAAGCGCCAACCGUGUUUAUUUUUAAAUCCAACUUGUGACCAUUGGAAAUGUGUAACCUUAAUUGGCCAUGCCUCUAAAUUCUGUGUUGCAUCUUUCGGUGCUAUUAAACAAUUGAGUUCUGAAUGUAGUUUGUGAUGUCAUUAGGUUCUAAUUUCUAUCCGUUGAAUGGUGCUAUGUUGUUUAAGAAUUGUUUUUGUAUCUUUCAAGUUUUAUUCCUCUCUACUUGUCACUACUCUGUCUCAGGCCUUGCAGCCUCCUGGCUUCAAAAUUUUAUUGAGCUUCCAUGCCUACUAUUCAUAUCAUUUAAGAUAUUGCCAAGUUACUUUCAUAUUACUUGGAAUAUUUCUGCUAUAUGUGGCUAGCAAGAGGUAAAGUUACCCUAUUUAGUAUUAGAUUCCAAAGAGAAUAUAUCAUAUUAUAAGGUGAGUUUUCAUGUGCAUAUAUCAUAUUCUACUCUGGUUAUCUUACCUUAGCUUUUGUUUGCUUGUGUGCACGAGGGUUUGUUAUUGAACUUGAAGGCUCUUGUUCAUUUCCAUAUAUUAGAAAUCAUUAUUAUAUAUUUGAAUUCAACUUGCAUUAGAAGUUCACAUCUCCAACAAUAAAUCUGUCGGACGUGUGGUGUAAUUGACGAAGCCCCAACAAUAAAUCUGUCAAAUGAGUUGUUGCCUUUUAAAUGUAGAAAAUAUUUAAGUGGUUUGAAUUCCUACCCCUCAACAAAACAAAACCAAGGAAUUUAGAUAUUUCAUUUCAUUUCUCUUUUGUUUCUGUCAUCAUCACUUUCAGUUUCCUUUUCUUUUUACUUAACAAAUCCAAGUUCCUAAACAUAUGCACAACAACCUAUAUGCUACCAAGGCGCAGGCAUUUCAUAAAAAAUAAAUUAAAUUUUCCUCUACAUACUGAACCUGUAGGUUAUUACCCAAAUGGGAUUGAAUAGGUGUACUUGUUGAAGUCCAUCAUUGAUUUUUUCAACUUGUGACAUUGAUAUUUAAGGAUGGGCCCUGUUAUGGUGCAGCCAGUUGAUCUGGUUUUGUUUUAGUAUGGAGAUGAUCCAGAAUAUUGUAUUGUUUCAAUGUGUAAACUAAUUAUAAGAUACAUAGUCUUGUCAUUCUGUUUGUGAUUUAACAACAUAAGAAACAGUAGCAUCAUAAUUUUUUCUUCCUUUACCAAAUUGACAUGAACAGAAACAGAAUAAUGCUAUGUACACAGAACACACGCAUACAUUAGUCUCGUAUGGAAUUGUAAACUUCUUAACUACAUAAGUUUUGAAUAAUGUGCACUUCAGUGUGAGACUAAUGAAAGAACCUUUUACUGAGGGAGUUGAUUUUCAGAUUUUGCAUCUGCAUAUUAAAGCAUAAGUUUUAUUAUAUGCCCUCUUUCCACGCUACAAAGGCACGUUUCCACCCCUUCAUCCCAAAGUGAAAACAGUAGUUAUAGAGAUGGCUAGAGAUAAAAACAUAUAGACUAUUCAGAAGUAUCUUCCACUCUGCUCUCACAAAAACACAUACAUUAGUCUGGUAACAUAUAGACAAAAACAUAUAGACUAUUUAGACAAAAACACAUACAUUAGUCUGGUAAUAUGCUUCUGAUAGAGAGAUGGGUUUGUUGUUUUGCUGGAGCUUGUGUUGAUAAUCCUAACCUUGUAUCUUUCACUCCACUCUCACGCUUACCCUCCUCCAAGUAAAAGUUCAACCAAAGCAUAUAGACUAUUCAGAAGUAGAAAGACUAUUUUAACUUAGUGUCCAUUGUUGAAACAUAGGUCAAUAUUGGCAUAUUGUGGAACAAUAGUUAGAAUUGAUAUAUACAUAUGAAUGAUGUUUUAUUUACAAAAUGGUAUUGAUAGUCAUUUAAUUUGUUAAUGUUUCCUUUACUUUCCAUGUAGAAUUUACAUUUUUUGUCCAAUUUUACAAUAAAGUGAUGUGCAAAUAUUUUCAACAAAAAUUUACCUGAAAUUAUUUCUCAUUUUCUUUG
Non-coding RNA from Camellia sinensis, 5609 nucleotides. The record is from RefSeq and is a predicted model, not a curated record. Lineage: Eukaryota; Viridiplantae; Streptophyta; Magnoliopsida; Ericales; Theaceae.